GUGGGGAAUAUUGGACAAUGGGCGAAAGCCUGAUCCAGCCAUGCCGCGUGUGUGAAGAAGGUCUUCGGAUUGUAAAGCACUUUAAGUUGGGAGGAAGGGCAGUAAGUUAAUACCUUGCUGUUUUGACGUUACCGACAGAAUAAGCACCGGCUAACUUCGUGCCAGCAGCCGCGGUAAUACGAAGGGUGCAAGCGUUAAUCGGAAUUACUGGGCGUAAAGCGCGCGUAGGUGGUUUUGUAAGUUGGAGGUGAAAUCCCCGGGCUCAACCUGGGAACUGCCUGCAAAACUGCAUGACUAGAGUACGGUAGAGGGUAGUGGAAUUUCCUGUGUAGCGGUGAAAUGCGUAGAUAUAGGAAGGAACACCAGUGGCGAAGGCGACUACCUGGACUGAUACUGACACUGAGGUGCGAAAGCGUGGGGAGCAAACAGGAUUAGAAACCCGAGUAGUCC
Molecule: ribosomal RNA, 450 nt
Filed under: uncultured bacterium
Lineage: Bacteria
Description: bacterial SSU rRNA
Rfam family: Bacterial small subunit ribosomal RNA
Source: RNAcentral